This 460-nucleotide ribosomal RNA is filed under the name uncultured bacterium. Its description in RNAcentral is "partial 16S ribosomal RNA". It matches the Rfam family "Bacterial small subunit ribosomal RNA", at positions 338 to 795 of the family's 1533-position model. The record is from RNAcentral.
CCUACGGGAGGCAGCAGUGAGGAAUAUUGGUCAAUGGGCGGGAGCCUGAACCAGCCAAGUCGCGUGAGGGAAGACGGUCCUAUGGAUUGUAAACCUCUUUAGGCGGGGAGCAAUGCCGGGCACGUGUGCCCGGAGGGAGAGUACCCGCCGAAUUAGCAUCGGCUAACACCGUGCCAGCAGCCGCGGUGAUACGGGGGAUGCGAGCGUGAUCCGAAUUUAUUGGGGUAAAAGGGUGCGUAGGCGGAUUUUAAAGUCAGCGGUAAAAUGUCCGGGCUCAACCCGGGCCGGCCGUUGAAACUGGAGAGCUUGAGUGGGCGAGAAGUAUGCGGAAUGCGUGGUGUAGCGGUGAAAUGCAUAGAUAUCACGCAGAACUCCGAUGGCGAAGGCAGCAUACCGGCGCCCGACUGACGCUGAGGCACGAAAGCGUGGGGAGCGAACAGGAUUAGAUACCCCAGUAGUC